Onthophagus taurus is the source of this 630-nucleotide long non-coding RNA. RefSeq lists it as uncharacterized. Lineage: Eukaryota; Metazoa; Arthropoda; Insecta; Coleoptera; Scarabaeidae. The record is from RefSeq and is a predicted model, not a curated record.
UCCGUUGACAUUUUGAAUCGAAUCAACCAAUCAGAAACAUCUCAACCGGGAGUAGUUUUAUUUUGUAUUGUUUGUGGUGAUUCAGAGGUUGUGUGGUUUGUAUCCGGGCGGAGUAAAGUCGCUUUCGGUAAGAAAAAAGGAGAGAAGUCUCGAGGGCGGUGAACCGGAUACAGCACCCAAGUUUUCGAUUAAUAUCAAAUUAAGCGAUGUCUUCAACGGAAUUUAACGUGGGUCUCUCCGAGCGCAACGUUCGUAAAUCAUUGAGGCCUCCGGGUGGUUAUUCAAAUAUAUUUGGGUUUGGUGGAAAUGAAGAAGAAACGCCUCAGGUUAAUCCCAGGAAUCAAACAUCCGAGAUAAAAAGUUGCUUGCAAUUUGAUGACACACCGUCUGAAAGUCAGAAGAUAAAGGAUGAGCAAAAGGGCGAAAAUGAAAAGAAGGGUGAAGAGAACAAGACUGAAACACCUAAUAAAGGCACGCAACGUGUUCGUGUUCCACCAGGAGGGUUUUCUUCUGGUUUGUGGUAAAAACGAUUUUUUUGCUUGAAAUAUUGAUUAAAUAAAAUUACUUUUUAUAUACCAUUUUUUGGAUGAUAAAUUUUUUUUGAUAUGAAUAAAGGAUUAUGCUGUGUAA